UAUGAAAUGAAAUGAGAUAAUUUCAAUCUAGGCCAUUAUGUAAUUUCCUCCGCGGUUAACAGUAAGGCAUAUCAACAGUAUUAUAAUUGUAGUCGUGGCAUCAACCCCGUUUAUAUACCUUUUCUUCAUGAUUAACAUUGGCCAGGACUCCACAGGUGGAGAGAAACAUAUUUAAUAAUUUUGAUGCGCAUAAUUAUACCCAUGGCGAGUUGAAAUUCAGGGAAACAAUAAUACAGCAGAAAAAACAUACAAAUAUAAUAUGGUUUACUUUUGCCGAUUUUU
This is a long non-coding RNA of Anneissia japonica, 282 nucleotides long. RefSeq lists it as uncharacterized. Lineage: Eukaryota; Metazoa; Echinodermata; Crinoidea; Comatulida; Comatulidae. The transcript is spliced from 3 exons. The record is from RefSeq and is a predicted model, not a curated record.